Talpa occidentalis (Iberian mole) is the source of this 240-nucleotide long non-coding RNA. RefSeq lists it as uncharacterized. The record is from RefSeq and is a predicted model, not a curated record. The transcript has 3 exons. NCBI's taxonomy places the organism in Eukaryota, Metazoa, Chordata, Mammalia, Eulipotyphla, Talpidae.
GGGAAGUGGUCCUGACGGUAUGGACGGCUGGAACGGGCCAGCCGGGAGGCGGCAUGUGGACGCGUGUGCAUCUGGGCCUUGGGAUGCCACCAGGGAGCCCGGCUUUUGCCUAAGUGACAGUGUGGCGGGAGCGUCAGAAGGCUCCAAUCAGGGAUGGAGACACCAUUGGAUGUCCUGUCCAGGGCCGCCUCUUUGGUGCAUGCUGAUGAUGAAAAACGGCGGCGUCACAGGGAUACCAGC